This 536-nucleotide ribosomal RNA is filed under the name Kyklioacalles reginae. RNAcentral describes it as "partial 16S ribosomal RNA". It matches the Rfam family "Bacterial large subunit ribosomal RNA", at positions 1819 to 2625 of the family's 2925-position model. Lineage: Eukaryota; Metazoa; Arthropoda; Insecta; Coleoptera; Curculionidae. The record is from RNAcentral.
GGCCUUUUGAUUAUGAUUUAAGGUCUAGCCUGCCCAAUGAUGUAAAAAUUUAAUGGCCGCAGUACACUAACUGUGCAAAGGUAGCAUAAUCAUUAGUUUUUUAAUUGAAAGCUGGAAUGAAAGGUUUGAUGAGAAAAAAGCUGUCUCUAUUUAAAAUUUUAGAAAUUUAUUUUUAAGUUAAAAAGCUUAAAUUUAUAUUGAAGACGAGAAGACCCUAUAGAGUUUGAUUUAUAAAUUAAUAAAUAAAAUUUAGUAUUUAAGAUUUUAUUUUUGAAUAAAUUUAGUUGGGGUGAUUGAAAAAUUUGUAAAACUUUUUUUAUAUUUUUACAUUUAUUUAUGAAUUUAUGAUCCUUUUAGUAGAUUAUAAGAUAAAAUUACCUUAGGGAUAACAGCGUAAUUUUUUUUAGAGUUCUUAUCGAAUAAAAAGAUUGCGACCUCGAUGUUGGAUUAAAAUUAAAUUUUUGGUGUAGAAGCUAAAAGAUUAGGUCUGUUCGACCUUUAAAUUUUUACAUGAUCUGAGUUUAAACCGGUGUAAG